Long non-coding RNA from Bos taurus (domestic cattle), 2067 nucleotides. The record is from Ensembl. NCBI's taxonomy places the organism in Eukaryota, Metazoa, Chordata, Mammalia, Artiodactyla, Bovidae.
AGCUCAAAGUUGCAAAUUAUAUUUUAUUCAGGGAGUUAACUGAGUACUACAGCCUGGGAAACAGGCUCUCAGAUAGCCCCGAGAUACUGUUCCAAAGAGGUAAGGGAGGAUCCAGAAUAUACAGAAGUUUCUGUUGAAAACAAAUAAACGUCUAUUUGAACAUCAAAAGAGUACAGCUCAUCACAAAAAAAGACAUCUUGAGUUAAUGAUUUUAGUGCUUUUCUAUGUAUGAAACGAUGCAAAAAGUCUGAGCCCAUUGAAAUUAUUCCUUAGAUAUGCAUCUUAACUGUCUAGGGUGAGUAUCCUGUUUUUCUCCAUCCUGAGUUCCUCUGAGGGUGCACCAUCUCGGGGGCGGCGGGGUUGGGCAGCUGCAAUGGUUGAUGGCUUGAUGAUGGGCAACUUUUCUUGUUUACUGAAAUGGCAAGCAACACUUCUUUUGUCCAUGCUUUCGUAGAUUUUCCAGAGAUCUAAGAUCAACUGGCAGGUGUUAAGGCUAUAGACAAUUAAAAGUCCUGGGAUGUCUUCUCACAAAACCAUUUUUUAUCACAAGCUUCCAUACUCCCAUGUUUUGCAUUUGAAUUUUUUAAUGGAUGAUUUUACAUUUAUCCCUAUUAAGUUUAUUCUUAUUCAUGUCAGCCUAUUCUUUUAGUUUAUUAAGACCUUUUGCCUCUCUUGGUUUCAUUUGACAUUUAAUGAAUUAGGCUUCUCUCUCAGCUUUGUCACACCUGCAGUUUUGAUAAACAUGUCUUUUGUGUCUUCAUCCAUCAUUAACUGAAAUUUUGAACUGGAUAAACUAUAGAUAGCACUUGGGAGUCUGUCACUGUGACUUCCCUUCGGGUAGGCAGUGAUUCAUUAAGCUGCUGACAUUCUUUGAAUGAAGUUGUUCAAUUAGCUACAAAUCUACUCAACUGUACUGUCAUUCACAUCAUUCCUGUCCACAGGAUGUUAAAUUCUUUGCUGAAAUUAAGAUAUAUUUUUGUCUGUGAUAUUCCCGUGAUCUCCAUGACCUGAAAAGCAGAUGUCAGGAUGCUUCCUCUGCUCAACCCUUAGGGCUUAUCAAGUAGGACAAAGCUUGGCUUUCAAAGAUCCCAAGCCAAUGGCUCCCAAGCUGGAAUCACCUGGAAGUUUUAAAACCCUGGUCUCCAGAUCACAUUCUCAGAAAUUUGGAUUACUGGCUUGGGUGUGGAUGGGCGUCAGUGUUUUUUAAAGGUCUACAGGGGAUUCUAAUAUAUAGCCAAUAAUUCUGAAAGUGGAGUUCAGACCAGCAGCAUCAGCAUCACCUGGAACUUGUUAAAAUGCAAAUUUUCACUGCACGUCCCCCAAUCCUGCUGCCUCCAAUCUGCUCCAAUCCACAGAAUCAGAAACUGCAAAGGAGGAGCUCAGGAAACUGUUUUAACAAGCCCUCCAGGUGAGUUGGAUAUAUACCAAGGUUUGAGAACUUAGGUUGAAAGCCUGUUCUAGGCUUUCCUUUCUCCUGGUUUAAAAAAGAUUGCCCUGUCAAGUGCUAUCGACCCUGAAAACGUCUGGUCUGAGGCCAAUUACAGCUCUCUAAAGCUGCAGGAGCUGGCAGGAUACUGCGCGCAGAGGCCUCGCACAAAACCCUUCAGACCAUAGUUCCUGGCAUCAAACAGCACCACUCGACACCUCAGCUUGGGGACCGUGUGCAGAAGCUUCUCACAAGAUGUUGUGAUUCAAGAUGGCAGGGGUUUGGAGAUACUGCUUUCAGCCUGUCCGUUUUGCGAGAACUCUACCCUCCUUCCCCAGAAGGGGAACUCUAAGAAGCAGCACCAACCACAACCUGUCCUGGAGGGGAGAGUGUGUGUGCUCUUGAGUAUACAGAAUGUAGCACUGCAACUGAUAUAAUACCGUCUACUGAGUUUCCAGCUCAUUCUUUAGAGCCCUGUGUCUUCAUGGUCAAAGCUCCUGGGUGAUCCCCAGCUGGUUGGAAUCAUCUGCCUUCACAUCCACCAGAAAAGCUCCAUUCAAAAUGAUUUAUAAUAGAUUUGUAUAUCUGUGUAUCUGCUUACUCUGAUCAUUCCCCUUGUAUCUAAUAACACUGUUGUCCAC